UGAGGAAUAUUGGUCAAUGGUCGGAAGACUGAACCAGCCAUGCCGCGUGCAGGAAGAAGCAUCUAUGGUGUGUAAACUGCUUUUGUACGGGAAGNNACACUCCUCGUGUACGGAGCUUGACGGUACCGUAAGAAUAAGGAUCGGCUAACUCCGUGCCAGCAGCCGCGGUAAUACGGAGGAUCCAAGCGUCAUCCGGAAUCAUUGGGUUUAAAGGGUCCGUAAGGCGGUUGAAAUAAGUCAGUGGUGAAAUCCGGUCAGCCUUAACUGUCGGAAUUGCCAUUGAUACUGUNUUUUAACUUGAAUNNNACUGUGAAGUAACUAGAAAUAUGUAGCUGUAGCGGUGAAAUGCUUAGAUAUNACAUGGAAUACCAAUUGCGAAGGCAGGUU
RNAcentral lists this ribosomal RNA (387 nucleotides) under uncultured Cytophaga sp. Its description in RNAcentral is "bacterial SSU rRNA". It matches the Rfam family "Bacterial small subunit ribosomal RNA", at positions 355 to 727 of the family's 1533-position model. The record is from RNAcentral. Lineage: Bacteria; Pseudomonadati; Bacteroidota; Cytophagia; Cytophagales; Cytophagaceae.